AGCCCCGUACACAAAAAUGCACAUGCUGUGAGCUCGAUGAGUAGGGCGGGACACGUGGUAUCCUGUCUGAAUGUGGGGGGACCAUCCUCCAAGGCUAAAUACUCCUGACUGACCGAUAGUGAACCAGUACCGUGAGGGAAAGGCGAAAAGAACCCCGGCGAGGGGAGUGAAAAAGAACCUGAAACCGUGUACGUACAAGCAGUGGGAGCACGCUUAGGCGUGUGACUGCGUACCUUUUGUAUAAUGGGUCAGCGACUUAUAUUCUGUAGCAAGGUUAACCGAAUAGGGGAGCCGAAGGGAAACCGAGUCUUAACUGGGCGUUAAGUUGCAGGGUAUAGACCCGAAACCCGGUGAUCUAGCCAUGGGCAGGUUGAAGGUUGGGUAACACUAACUGGAGGACCGAACCGACUAAUGUUGAAAAAUUAGCGGAUGACUUGUGGCUGGGGGUGAAAGGCCAAUCAAACCGGGAGAUAGCUGGUUCUCCCCGAAAGCUAUUUAGGUAGCGCCUCGUGAAUUCAUCUCCGGGGGUAGAGCACUGUUUCGGCAAGGGGGUCAUCCCGACUUACCAACCCGAUGCAAACUGCGAAUACCGGAGAAUGUUAUCACGGGAGACACACGGCGGGUGCUAACGUCCGUCGUGAAGAGGGAAACAACCCAGACCGCCAGCUAAGGUCCCAAAGUCAUGGUUAAGUGGGAAACGAUGUGGGAAGGCCCAGACAGCCAGGAUGUUGGCUUAGAAGCAGCCAUCAUUUAAAGAAAGCGUAAUAGCUCACUGGUCGAGUCGGCCUGCGCGGAAGAUGUAACGGGGCUAAACCAUGCACCGAAGCUGCGGCAGCGACGCUGAUGCGUUGUUGGGUAGGGGAGCGUUCUGUAAGCCUGUGAAGGUGUGCUGUGAGGCAUGCUGGAGGUAUCAGAAGUGCGAAUGCUGACAUAAGUAACGAUAAAGCGGGUGAAAAGCCCGCUCGCCGGAAGACCAAGGGUUCCUGUCCAACGUUAAUCGGGGCAGGGUGAGUCGACCCCUAAGGCGAGGCCGAAAGGCGUAGUCGAUGGGAAACAGGUUAAUAUUCCUGUACUUGGUGUUACUGCGAAGGGGGGACGGAGAAGGCUAUGUUGGCCGGGCGACGGUUGUCCCGGUUUAAGCGUGUAGGCUGGUUUUCCAGGCAAAUCCGGAAAAUCAAGGCUGAGGCGUGAUGACGAGGCACUACGGUGCUGAAGCAACAAAUGCCCUGCUUCCAGGAAAAGCCUCUAAGCAUCAGGUAACAUCAAAUCGUACCCCAAACCGACACAGGUGGUCAGGUAGAGAAUACCAAGGCGCUUGAGAGAACUCGGGUGAAGGAACUAGGCAAAAUGGUGCCGUAACUUCGGGAGAAGGCACGCUGAUAUGUAGGUGAAGUCCCUCGCGGAUGGAGCUGAAAUCAGUCGAAGAUACCAGCUGGCUGCAACUGUUUAUUAAAAACACAGCACUGUGCAAACACGAAAGUGGACGUAUACGGUGUGACGCCUGCCCGGUGCCGGAAGGUUAAUUGAUGGGGUCAGCGCAAGCGAAGCUCUUGAUCGAAGCCCCGGUAAACGGCGGCCGUAACUAUAACGGUCCUAAGGUAGCGAAAUUCCUUGUCGGGUAAGUUCCGACCUGCACGAAUGGCGUAAUGAUGGCCAGGCUGUCUCCACCCGAGACUCAGUGAAAUUGAACUCGCUGUGAAGAUGCAGUGUACCCGCGGCAAGACGGAAAGACCCCGUGAACCUUUACUAUAGCUUGACACUGAACAUUGAGCCUUGAUG
This 1779-nucleotide ribosomal RNA is filed under the name Escherichia coli. RNAcentral describes it as "partial 23S ribosomal RNA". It matches the Rfam family "Bacterial large subunit ribosomal RNA", at positions 369 to 2136 of the family's 2925-position model. Lineage: Bacteria; Pseudomonadati; Pseudomonadota; Gammaproteobacteria; Enterobacterales; Enterobacteriaceae. The record is from RNAcentral.